This 482-nucleotide ribosomal RNA is filed under the name uncultured bacterium. RNAcentral's name for it is "bacterial SSU rRNA". It matches the Rfam family "Bacterial small subunit ribosomal RNA", at positions 28 to 507 of the family's 1533-position model. The record is from RNAcentral.
GAUGAACGCUGGCGGCGUGCUUAACACAUGCAAGUCGAACGAAGCACUCUAUUUGAUUUCUUCGGAAUGAUUAUUUUGUGACUGAGUGGCGGACGGGUGAGUAACGCGUGGGUAACCUGCCUCACACUGGGGGAUAACAGUUAGAAAUAGCUGCUAAUACCGCAUAAGCGCACGGGAUCGCAUGAUCUUGUGUGAAAAACUCCGGUGGUGUGAGAUGGACCCGCGUCUGAUUAGCUAGUUGGUGGGGUAACGGCCCACCAAGGCGACGAUCAGUAGCCGACCUGAGAGGGUGACCGGCCACAUUGGGACUGAGACACGGCCCAAAACUCCUACGGGAGCAGCAGUGGGGAAUAUUGGGGCAAUGGGGGAAACCCUGACCCAGCAACGCCGCGUGAAGGAAGAAGGCUUUCGGGUUGUAAACUUCUUUUACCAGGACGAAGAAAGUGACGGUACCUGGAGAAAAAGCCACGGCUAACUACGUG